CGCGUAGGCGGAUGGCAAAGUCAGGGGUGAAAUCUUUCGGCUCAACCGGAAAAGUGCCUCUGAUACUGGCUGUCUUGAGGGAGGUAGGGGCAUGUGGAACUUCCGGUGGAGCGGUGAAAUGUGUUGAUAUCGGAAGGAACGCCGGUGGCGAAAGCGACGUGCUGGACCUCUUCUGACGCUGAGGCGCGAAAGCUAGGGGAGCGAACGGGAUUAGAUACCCCGGUAGUCCUAGCCCUAAACGAUGGGUACUAGGUAGUGGACUUGACAUGGGUUCACUGCCGAAGCAAAAGUGGUAAGUACCCCGCCUGGGGAGUAUGGUCGCAAGGCUGAA
RNAcentral lists this ribosomal RNA (331 nucleotides) under uncultured bacterium. Its description in RNAcentral is "bacterial SSU rRNA". It matches the Rfam family "Bacterial small subunit ribosomal RNA", at positions 568 to 898 of the family's 1533-position model. The record is from RNAcentral.